This 426-nucleotide ribosomal RNA is filed under the name uncultured Butyricicoccus sp. RNAcentral's name for it is "bacterial SSU rRNA". It matches the Rfam family "Bacterial small subunit ribosomal RNA", at positions 354 to 794 of the family's 1533-position model. Lineage: Bacteria; Bacillati; Bacillota; Clostridia; Eubacteriales; Butyricicoccaceae. The record is from RNAcentral.
UGGGGGAAUAUUGCGGCAAUGGGGGGCAACCCUGACGCAGCAACGCCGCGUGAUUGAAGAAGGUCUUCGGAUUGUAAAAAUCUUUUAUCAGGGACGAAGAAGUGACGGUACCUGAUGAAUAAGCUCCGGCUAACUACGUGCCAGCAGCCGCGGUAAUACGUAGGGAGCAAGCGUUAUCCGGAUUUACUGGGUGUAAAGGGCGAGUAGGCGGGUCGGCAAGUUGGGAGUGAAAUGUCGGGGCUUAACCCCGGAACUGCUUCCAAAACUGUUGAUCUUGAGUGAUGGAGAGGCAGGCGGAAUUCCCAGUGUAGCGGUGAAAUGCGUAGAUAUUGGGAGGAACACCAGUGGCGAAGGCGGCCUGCUGGACUUUAACUGACGCUGAGGCACGAAAGCGUGGUAGCAAACAGGAUUAGAUACCCUGGUAGU